GUCUACAUACUAUUUUGUUUAGUAUGUGGUGUGUCCCGAAAAAUAACUGUCAAUAUAUUUUUAUCUAAACUAACCAUAGCACUUGAUCAUUUAUAUAUUUUUUAGUUCACUGGAUCACUAUAGACAUUUCGAUUUCCAUCAAACAGAUGAUUUACCUGAUUAUAUUCGCGUACCUGUUGGGGACAACAUCCGGUGAAGACAGACAGGUUCAAACUACCACCGCCCGGAUACCCACAGAACAUACAGAACAACAUCAUAUCGUCAUUAAAAAACUCUCUCGUCCUCAGGAGACAGACCACACGGACACUCAGGAUGACGCCACCGAAACGAAAAUACAGGCACGCAAAAUGGCAGGUGUUGUAAUCUUGGUGAUUGUGUUCGUGGGGGUAACAAUCCCGCUGUGCCUUUGUUUUUGUACGAGUUCCAAGAAAAGAUUUUUGAGGAUUCCUGACGAGGUGACUUUCCCCUCUUUUGUAUGACGCUAAAGAUAGUGUAGAGGCGUGUCAAUGCUUUAAGGAAUGCCAUGAUAAAAACUGGAAACCGAAUUCCUGGCUACAUAAAGCGCUAUCCAGAACGAUAGAGACAACCUCACGUCAGGAGGGGGAAUCUAGGACGUCUGAGCACUGUUACUGCUGGGAGCACGACCAAUAACCAAAAUCGGUACAGAAUGGCUCGGUGUGAUAUCAACAAGGAGAUGGUUGUGCAGUUGUGUUGUAAAGACAAAUAUAAUAAUAAACAUUAAUACGAAUAUGAUAGUGAACUUACCAACUAAAGGUAUCAAUAUCAUGCUUGUUUUAUCUUCAAAAUGUUCCCGUAGUACUUACAUUAAAUAUACUAUUUGACAUGAAGUCAUUACUUGGCAUGGCUAUGCGAAGUAUAGUACCGGUAAUUGAUAUAAUGCCGUGAAAUACAAUAUACAUGUAUGGAAUAUACCUUAAAAUAAGGAGAUGAUAGAUACGAGGGUUGAUAGAUAUGGUGUGAGCCUCGUAUUCGAGGAGGUACUCAAGUCUAUUCUUUUUAAGUCCUACUAUUCUCUCACUAUAUAGGGUCGUGUAUCCAAGGACUGGUUUCAUUUGGUAAGUUUAUAUCGACGAGGUAGCACUCCAAAGUAAACACAUUGUCUCACCCCUGCAAAAGAAUGCAAAGACUGUUCCAUCAGCUGGGAAGGUUAUGGCCUCGGUUUUCUGGGAUGCAGAUGGUAUUCUCCUGAUAUAUUAUCUCCAAAAGGGACAAACAAUCCAUGGCACACACUAUGCUCCACUUUUGAGGCAGUUACGGGAAAAUAUUAAACGUAAGCGCCGCGGAAAGCUCACUAAAGGUGUGUUAUUUCAUCAGGACAAUGCUCCUGUUCACAAGUCUGGCAUUGUCAUGGCUGCCAUUCACGAUUUAAGCUUUAGAUUGAUUGAUCAUCCGCCUUAUUCACCUGAUCUCGCUCCAUCAGACUUUCAUCUAUGUCCGAAACACCGCUGGCAAAAUUCAAAUCCUUCAAUAUGAAGUUCACAACAUAUCAGUCAGCCCUCGUAUCAUGAUCAAUAAAAUAAGUUUGAUGUUUUAUGCACGAAUCGGUAAAAAUUAAUAUCUAUACAUCGUGAAUCCAUUUAAUAUAUAACAUUGAAUGCUAAAAUAGCAAUUUAUCAUUGGGAUAAUUCAUUAAAGUUCAUCAAAUUCA
Long non-coding RNA from Pecten maximus, 1669 nucleotides. RefSeq lists it as uncharacterized. Lineage: Eukaryota; Metazoa; Mollusca; Bivalvia; Pectinida; Pectinidae. The transcript is spliced from 2 exons. The record is from RefSeq and is a predicted model, not a curated record.